Non-coding RNA from Salmo salar (Atlantic salmon), 55 nucleotides. NCBI's taxonomy places the organism in Eukaryota, Metazoa, Chordata, Actinopteri, Salmoniformes, Salmonidae. The record is from Rfam.
UGUAUUCACUACUGUAAGUUGCUCUGGAUAAGAGCGUCUGCUAAAAUGACUAAAA